Molecule: transfer RNA, 71 nt
Filed under: Loxodonta africana (African savanna elephant)
Lineage: Eukaryota; Metazoa; Chordata; Mammalia; Proboscidea; Elephantidae
Rfam family: tRNA
About the family: Transfer RNA (tRNA) molecules are approximately 80 nucleotides in length. Their secondary structure includes four short double-helical elements and three loops (D, anti-codon, and T loops).
Source: Rfam by way of RNAcentral
GCAUUGGUGGUUCAGUGGUAGAAUUCUCGCCUUCCAUGUGGGAGACCUUGGUUUGAUUCCCGGUCAGUGUA